Molecule: ribosomal RNA, 269 nt
Filed under: uncultured Desulfocapsa sp.
Lineage: Bacteria; Pseudomonadati; Thermodesulfobacteriota; Desulfobulbia; Desulfobulbales; Desulfocapsaceae
Description: partial 16S ribosomal RNA
Rfam family: Bacterial small subunit ribosomal RNA
Source: RNAcentral
AGUUGCCAUCAUUAAGUUGGGCACUCUAAAGAGACUGCCGGUGUCAAACCCGGAGGAAGGUGGGGAUGACGUCAAGUCCUCAUGGCCUUUAUGACCAGGGCUACACACGUACUACAAUGGCAGGUACAAAGGGCAGCCACUUAGCGAUAAGGCGCGAAUCCCGUAAAACCUGUCUCAGUCCGGAUUGGAGUCUGCAACUCGACUCCAUGAAGUUGGAAUCGCUAGUAAUCGCGGAUCAGCACGCCGCGGUGAAUACGUUCCCGGGCCUU